AUCAGCAAGUCUGAUAUCAAUACAUACAUAAACACUCUUAUUACAUAUGCAUAUGUAUAUGUAUAAAUAUGCAUACACACACAUAUGUAUAUGCAUAUAUACACAUACAAGCCAUAAUAAAAAUGUAUAAGGCUAAGUAAAUUUGUGGUGGCUACUCUGGCAUUAUUACUUUAUGAUCACGUGCUCUUUGCUUGAGUAUUACUUCUCUCUUUUUUACGAAAUUUUUAUUGUAUUUCAUAAGCAAUGGCGGUAAGCUCCAUUUAAAAAAUAAUAUGGUUCAGUAAACACAUUUUUUUUUUUGCUUUUUUAAUGAAUAAAUUACUUUCUAAUCAAAAUUAUUUGAAACCAAAAAGCUACAGCAGAUUGAGACGCGAAUACAUCAAACCGCUAAAGGCAACAAUUAAAUGGCAACAAACGAUGUGGACUAUCCGCAAAAGUAAUUCCUUAAUUCAAUAAAGCAAACACUAGAUUAUUUCAAUCUUUAAAAAAAAAAUAUGUGAUAAAAUAGCCACACAUAUUUAAAGGCUAAAAAUAAAACAAAAUUCAUCAGCCGACAAAACAGUGACUAUAAUUUCGAUGCGGUCGACAAGUAAGCACGACACACGUGUGCAAUCCAUAAACAACUAUCUCAAAAUCAACAGGCAAACAAAACUAAAUGGGUGUCUACUUGUUUCAUAGUACAUAGUCUACAUAUGCGUGUAUAUAUAAACAUGACGGUUCUAUUCUCUCCUUACUCUGAGUUUUAUAAUAAACAAGUAGAUAUGUUCGCACAUAUGCAUAAACAGGUGUAUAUAAAUUACAUAUUGAAAAAAGCAAACAACAAACGAACAAACAUAUACAUACAUAACAUAUAUAUGUAUAUAGCUUUAACAAUGAGAGACGUAGCGCCUUUUCGCCUACUCAUAUCGAAUUCGAGUGCUGCGUGGGUUCAAAAUUAAAAUCAGGCGAUAGGUGGCUACUUAGCCAAUCAAUAUGCAUAUUGGCACAAUCGUAUAAACACACUUUAUUAAACGUACUGAAUUAUGUACACCGUCUGUCAGGGGUAUUAUACACGUAUAUAUAUAUAUAUUUAUAAAUACAGACACAUAAAAUGUAUAGUAUUAUACCAACAUUUUUAAAUAAAAGGAAUUUAUGAGUCGCGUAACGCAAACACUGCAUUUAUAUUUGUUUCUAUAAAUAUAACACUUAUUAAUUUCUGAGUGCACUGAAUACUAUGUUGGUUACCACCGCUGCUGAUCCAAGUAUGUACAUAGUUUAAUAUGCAGCUUAUACAUAAACUUUUUUAAUGUAUACAUAUACACGUGUAUGUAUAUAUAAGUGUAGAGAGUUUAAAUAUUAAUUGAAAAUAUUAAAAAACACAAAUUAAUAUUAAACUGUUAAUUGAUGUGGUCGUCAGUAAUGAUGCCAAUAAUAUUGUAUUGACGCGGAUAUCCAAGUACAUAUUUACUUGGACAUUUAUGUGUCUAUUGACGUUAUUCAAUCGCUGGGUAUUAGCUGCUUAAUGUCGUUGCGUCGUUUUCUGUUGGCUAACAUGUCAGGUUACCUUUCCCCCGCUAUACACGACGUAUAACAAUUUGAACAUACGAGCAUAACAAGAACAUUAACGAACACAAAGCCGCUGGUGUCGCGUAACGCCGAUCACGUUUGACAUGUCGUGCGUUUAGUUUCACUUAACUAUUUGAGGUUACAAGUGCUUUAAUUAUUCCCACGUUUUCCCAGCCCAUUUACAUGUUAUUAACAACAUGACAAAAAUGUCGUCGUUUGCGUCGUCUAAAGUUUAUUUAGAAUAAGUACAUAUAUAUGUGUGUAUGUUAAUAUGAUGAAUUUUUAAAGAAAAUUUUUGAAACUAAUUUUGUAGUUAUUUGUAUAAUACAUUAUACAAUUAUACAUCCCUAUUUUCCUUCUUGACACUCUCAACUCCUUUAUGAUAGAUAAACCAUCAAAGUAUUAAACUUUUAUGAAUAUCAACAAAUAUUAUAAAAAUAUCUCGAUAUUUCAGUACAUCUAACUAAGUUUGUAAUACAGUUGAUAGUAUGUACAGUAAUGGGCAAAAGUAACUUUAUACAUACAACUUUAACAAGAACGAAAAGUUAGUUGUUUAAUUGAGUGCUUGAAUUUUUUGAAUUUCCUUCUUCGACUUUAUUUUAAAAAUAUUUGCAUCAUUAAUUUAUUCAAUCCAUUUUAAUCUGUUAAUUUAGCUACAAAUAUGCAUAUUUAUAAAGUUAUAUUUGUACAUUGGCUCAUGUAUAAAGAAACUUUAGUUUUUGUUUUAAUAAUUAUAUAUUAUAUUAACAUUCAAUUUUUUUACAUAUAUUUGUGCUUAAUACUACUUAAUUGAAAUAAAAUUAUAAAUACUUAUAUUGGAAUGAUUUUUGAAAAAGAAAAAAAAUAAUAAAUUGAAAUAACUGUUCAUACCUACCUCUCAUACUUAACCGAAUGUGGAGCGUGUCCAUUUGCUUCGCUCCAGUACGAUUCCAUAACUUCGUACUUAAUUUUGUUCCUGUGAGCUGGUUGCAGUUGAGGUGGAAUGGUGACUAUGGUUGUUAGCUGACUGGAGUCGACAAUUGCAGUAGAUGGAACGACCAAUUGGGUGUUCUUGAUAAUUUUGGACGUAUUCGUAAUGAAGGUGUUACUGGAUUUCCUGUUCAGUUACUUCUAUUUAUUUUUGGAGCACUGGAUGUAUGUGCAACCACAACACAUUUGGUUCACACCUAUUUUUUUUUGUGUUAGUUGUGGUAGCAAUUAUUGGUUUUAAUAAAACUACACA
Zeugodacus cucurbitae (melon fly) is the source of this 2767-nucleotide long non-coding RNA. RefSeq lists it as uncharacterized. NCBI's taxonomy places the organism in Eukaryota, Metazoa, Arthropoda, Insecta, Diptera, Tephritidae. The transcript has 2 exons. The record is from RefSeq and is a predicted model, not a curated record.